Molecule: unclassified non-coding RNA, 336 nt
Filed under: soil metagenome
Description: partial contains 5.8S ribosomal RNA, internal transcribed spacer 2, and large subunit ribosomal RNA
Rfam family: 5.8S ribosomal RNA (bases 1-120)
Source: RNAcentral
GAUGAAGAACGUAGCGAAAUGCGAUAAGUAAUGUGAAUUGCAGAAUUCAGUGAAUCAUCGAAUCUUUGAACGCACAUUGCGCCCGCCAGUAUUCUGGCGGGCAUGCCUGUUCGAGCGUCAUUUCAACCAUCAAGCCCCCGGCUUGUGUUGGGGACCUGCGGCUGCCGCAGGCCCUGAAAACCAGUGGCGGGCUCGCUGUCACACCGAGCGUAGUAGAUUUUCAUCUCGCUCAGGGCGUGCUACGGGUUCCGGCCGUAAAAAGCCUUAUUUACCCAAGGUUGACCUCGGAUCAGGUAGGAAGACCCGCUGAACUUAAGCAUAUCAAUAAGCGGAGGA